Molecule: ribosomal RNA, 467 nt
Filed under: uncultured bacterium
Lineage: Bacteria
Description: bacterial SSU rRNA
Rfam family: Bacterial small subunit ribosomal RNA
Source: RNAcentral
CGCUGGCGGCAUGCUUUACACAUGCAAGUCGAACGGCAGCGCGGGGCAACCUGGCGGCGAGUGGCGAACGGGUGAGUAAUAUAUCGGAACGUACCCAAGAGUGGGGGAUAACGUAGCGAAAGUUACGCUAAUACCGCAUACGAUCUAAGGAUGAAAGUGGGGGAUCGCAAGACCUCAUGCUCCUGGAGCGGCCGAUAUCUGAUUAGCUAGUUGGUGGGGUAAAGGCCCACCAAGGCAACGAUCAGUAGCUGGUCUGAGAGGACGACCAGCCACACUGGAACUGAGACACGGUCCAGACUCCUACGGGAGGCAGCAGUGGGGAAUUUUGGACAAUGGGGGCAACCCUGAUCCAGCAAUGCCGCGUGAGUGAAGAAGGCCUUCGGGUUGUAAAGCUCUUUUGUCAGGGAAGAAAAGGUCGCAGCCAAUAUCUGUGGCUCAUGACGGUACCUGAAGAAUAAGCACCGGCU